Hypanus sabinus (Atlantic stingray) is the source of this 7755-nucleotide long non-coding RNA. RefSeq lists it as uncharacterized. The record is from RefSeq and is a predicted model, not a curated record. Lineage: Eukaryota; Metazoa; Chordata; Chondrichthyes; Myliobatiformes; Dasyatidae. The transcript has 5 exons.
AAGGAGCAAGGACAAAAUAUCAACCUGGACGCGAACAUAAAGUAACAAACCAGAAAACCUGGACUGGGACUUGACUGAGAACUCAGGUCUUGGCUGGGACGCUCUUUGACUAGAACUCGUGCUUGGCUUGACGACGGCUCCUCGGUAGAGAUCGUUAAGAGCACCAAAUUUCUUGGUGUUCACCUGGCAGAGAAUCUCACCUGGUCCCUCAACACCAGCUCCAUAGCAAAGAAAGCCCAACAGCGUCUCUACUUUCUGCGAAGGCUGAGGAAAGUCCAUCUCCCACCACACACCCACCCCCCAUCCUCAUCGCAUUCUACAGGGGUUGUAUUGAGAGCAUCCUGAGCAGCUGCAUCACUGCCUGGUUUGGAAAUUGCACCAUCUCGGAUCGCAAGACCCUGCAGUAGAUAGUGAGGUCAGCUGAGAAGAUCAUCGGGGUCCCUUUUCCUGCCAUCAUGGACAUCGACACUACACUCUGCAUCCGCAAGGGAAACAGCAUUAUGAAGGACCCCGUGCACCCCUCAUACAAUCUCUUCUCCCUCCUGCCGUCUGGGAUAAGGCUCCAAAGUAUUUGGGCUCUCACGACCAGACUAUAUAACAGUUUCUUCCCCUAAGCUAUCAGACUCCUCAAUACCCAGAGCCUGGACUGACACCUUGCCCUAUUGUCCUGUUUAUUAUUUAUUGUAAUGCCUGCACUGUUUUUGUGCACUUUAUGCAGUCCAGUGUAGGUCUGUAGUCUAGUGUAGCUUUCUCUGUGUUGUUUUUUUUAACGUAGUUCAGUCUAGUUUUUGUACUGUGUCAUGUAACACCAUGAUCCUAAAAAACGUCUCAUUUUUACUAUGCACAGUGCCAGCAGUUAUGGUCGAAAUGACAAUAAAAGUGACUUGACUUGACUUGACUUGAGAUUCAGACUUGACUAGACUUGGACUUUUCUUGGACACAGACCCGGGACUCAACCGUGGACACAGGACACAGAGCUGAGACUCUUCUUGGACACAGGACACAGAGCCGGGACUCUCCUUGGCCACUGGACACAGAGCUGGGACCUUUCCUGGACACAGGACACAGAGCCGGGACUCUCCUUGGACACAGGACACAGAGCUGGGACCUUUCCUGGACACAGGACACAGAGCCGGGACUCUCCUUGGACACAGGACACAGAGCUGGGACUCUCCUUGGACACAGGACACAGAGCCGGGACCUUUCCUGGACACAGGACACAGAGUCAGGACUCUUCUUGGACACAGGGCUUGGACCCUUCUUGGAUGCCGGACACAGAGCCGGGACCUUUUUUGGCCACAGGACACAGAGCUGGGACCUUUCCUGGACACAGGACACAGAGUCAGGACUCUUCUUGGAUGCAGGACACAGAGCCGGGACCUUUUUUGGCCACUGGACACAGAGCUGGGACCCUUCUUGGUAUGAGUUUCUGAUGCUGAGCUUCCUGAUGUGGGUUUCGGAUGCUGAGUUUCCUGGUGCAGGUUUCUGACAGGGAUGGUCCAGCAAAGGAAUAGCUGGACCCCUGAGCUAUUUAUGUUGCAAGCCUGAAAUGAGGAUCAGCUGCCUCAAUUAAGGCACCCAAUGGAACAAGGGAAAACAGAAACAACCAGAAUACGGAAUCCACGGACCAGACCGUGAACCGGAAUGCGGACCUUACGGACCGUUACAGCUGCUUGUUCUCAAUCAGUAACAUGUGUGAAUCAGGCAGAACAGAUACAGACUCCAACAGUCAAAAACCUGCAUGUUCCAUCCAACCAAAGGACAUCUCACAAAUAACUUCUUAUCUGGAAAUGACCUCUAGUCCAGCAGAUUACCUGAGGCAUCAUUAUAUUGACUUUAAAACACUGAUCAAGCCAAGUGACUAACUCACAAAAUGAAGAAUCUCUUCAUAAAAUGGUAGCCUCCAUCUCCUCCCUCCUGGCAAGAACAAAGGUAAUUGGUCUGUCUGCUUCCAGUGCCCUUAAUUCAUUUGAACUCACUGCUUUGCUGACUGUAGUUCUUUCUGGCCAACAAACCCAAUCAAAAGAUAAUAAUAAAGACCAAUACCCAAUGCGCAAGAGAAAGAGGGAAAGAACACAAACCAUGCAAGCAAAAGAAGCGAGCAUCAACAUUCUGAAUUGGGUUGAGUCCUCAGAUCCAAACUCCACAGUAGGCCCAAAGCCUCAGUAUAUUAUCAGGCACAGAGCACAGCAGCCUGGGCAAUCUUCAUAGCCUCAGCACCAUGAUGAGAGGAGUGAACAUCGCAGAGAGUGAGUGAAAUUGGCUCUCAACUCUGAUCCCAAGAUGCCUGGCCAGUGUGCAAACUGUCCAGACAGCUUAAUGUACCUCGCAUUAGGACCUGGAAACCACUGCUGCGAAGGGCUCCGGGCCAAGACCAUGCCGCCCAACAGCUUGCUCCGGGCUCAGAUUUUGCCACUCUCAAACUCUUAAAAUCGGCUCGGCAGCCAGACUAUCCAACCUCGCACCCAGGCCAGUUGUACAGGCAUCAGAACUCCUCCGCCCAACUUCUCCUUUCUGAAUGGCGGCUCACUCCGUUUGUGUCAAUUCUGCAACACACCAGCACAGCUCAUCCCCGAACUUGUUUCGCUUUCACUUGCCACUUCAUUGCUAGUGGUGAUAAUUUACAACAAUUUACUACAGAAAAGGUGUUGUUAGUAAUGUUUUUAGUCAAAUUUCUUGCCUUUUGAACUACCAGUGGAAUGUCGCAUACGCUCAGUAGUGCCAUCUUAACCGGAAAGUUUGCAAACAAUAUGAAGAGAGGUGAAGGGGCAAAUAGUUUUGAGGAAGUAGAGAAGCUGCAGAAGGACUGAGACAGAUUAGGAGAAUGGGCAAGGAAGUGGCAGAUGGAAUACAGUGUUAAGAAGUGUAUGGUUGUGCACUUUGGUAGAAGAAGUAAAAGGGUAGACUAUUUUCUAAAUGGAGGAAAUACUUGGAACUCCUUGUACAGGAUUCCCUAAAGGAAAAUUUGCAGGUUGAGUCUGUGGUGAGAAAGGCAAAUGUGAUGUUAGCAUUCAUUUUAAGAGGAUUAGAAUAUAAAAGCAAGGAGGUAAUGAUGAAGCUUUAUAAAGCACUGGUGAGGCCUCACUUAGAGUAUUGUCAGCAGUUUGGGCCCCAUAUCUUAGAAAGGAUGUGCUGAAACUGGAGAGGGUUCAAAGGAGGUUCACAAAAUGAUUCCAGGAUUGAACGGCGUAUCAUAUGAAGAGCAUUUGAUGGCUCUGGGCCUGUAUUCACUGGAAUUCAGAAGAAUGAGGGGUGACCUAAGAAGGCAGAACGGAGUGGUGAUGACACUAAAUGGCGACUCCUUUGCUUGCAUGUUCGUAAACAGUUCCAUUUCCAUCUUUUUUCCCUUUCAGGGUUCUUUUGAAGACCCUGUCCUGGAGUUACACGCUGACUACAGUUCUUUGCGGGAAUGGGAUCCGCUGUCAGGGUUUCAUAAGCAGCCGUCGUUGUUCGGCACACUGAGGGCUCGGCCUAAGAGUCUGGCUCAAAUUUGGAAGCCUAGGAUCUUGGGGCUCUGGAGAUGGGCGGAUUGAGAGUCGGUGUCAUGACAGGACACCCAUCUGUCAUUGGGGGUUUCGGAAUAUCUGCGGUUGAGUGCCUAGUUUUUAGGGUACAGAGCUAAAAAAAAAAGCGACGUGGUGGACGUAAACCAUCGUAAACCAGCGAGUUGUUAUGUCUCCCUGCUCGCUGGGAAAAUGGAGACAUCUCUUUCUCCUUUAUUAAGGAGAGAGAGAACCUGUGGUAUGUUGAGUACGAGGUGAAACGCAAAGCCUUUGGGAUAACUGCAAGUCAGUGCCUUUGCUGUUGCCUUGUUCACGCUUGAGUGCUCAGUGGUGGGUGCCAUGCUUUUUCUUGCCGGUGGGGGUUGUUUGCUGCUGCUUACACAUGGGAGAGGGGAGUUGGGGGUUACUUUGGGGUUCUAACAUUUGACUGUCAUUCAUUCUUUAGGACACUCCUCUGUUUUCAUGAUGGUUUGCGAAGAAAAAGCAUUUCAGGAUGUAUAUUGUAUACAUUCCUCUGACAUUAAAUGUACCUUUGAAACCAUUGAAACUCAUCGAAACCUAUCUACCUACUGAUAGAAUUGGUGUGGAGAGGAUGUUUCCUACAGUGGGACAGUCUAGGACCAGAGGACACAGCCUCAGAAUAGAGGGGUGUCCUGUUAGAUUAGAGAUGAGAAAUUACUUCAGCCAGAGAAUGGUCAAUCUGUGGAAAUCAUUGCUACGGGCAGCUGUGGAGGCCAAGACUUUAUGUAUAUUUAAGGCAAAUGUUGAUAGAUUCUAGACUGGUCAGGGCAGGAAGGGAAAUGGGGAGAAGGCAGGAGAUUGGGGCUGAGAGGAAGAAUGGAGCGGUAGAGCAGACUCGAUGAGUCAAAUGGCCUAAUUCUGCUUCUAUAUCUUAUGAUCUCAUAACUAGGGAGAGGGCAGGACCACUCAGGAUAAAGAGGGGAACAUUUGUUUGGAUCCUGAGAAUGUGAGCAAAGUAAUCAGUGAGUACUUUGCUUCAGUACUUACCAAGGAAAAGGGUAUGGAGAACCAGAGCUGAGUGCAUAAAUACAUUAGGGCAUUUAGAGCUCAAGGAGGAGGAAGUGUUGGGCCUCCUAAUGAGUAUAAAGUUGGAUAAGUCCCAAGGACCCAAUAGGAUUUACCCCAAUUUAUUGAAGGAGGCAGGAGACGAGAUUGCUGGCGCCUCAUGUCCUCUGUAGUGCGGGUAAGGUCCUGCAGGACUGACGAGUGGCUAAGACUGUACCUCUAUGUAAGAAGGGAAAAUCCUGUGAACUAUAGACCAGUGAGUCUCACGUCAGUUGCAGGACAUUUGCUUAAGAAUAUUCUUAGAGAUAGAAUAUAUGAGCAUUUGGAAACCCAUGGCCUAAUUAUGGAGAGUCAGCAUGCCUUUGUGAGGGGCAGGUCAUAUCUUACUAACUUCAUUGAGUUUUUUCUUAAGGUGACAAGAGAGAUUGAUGAAGGUAGGGCAAUGGACGUUGUCUACAUUACUUAGUUAGGCAUUUGACAAAGUGCCUCAUGGGUGACUAAUCCAGAAGAUGAAGAUGCAGUGAAUUAGCUCUUUAGAUUCAGAACUGGUUUGCAUGUAGAAGAUGGGAGAAGUUGAGGGGACUUAUUUGAGCUGGAGGUCUGUGAUUAGUGGAGUUCUACAUGGAUUCGACUAAUGUAGAUGGAUGCGUUAGUAAGUAAGCAGAUAAUACCAAGAUUGGUGGAGUUGUGGAUGGUGUAGAAUCCGGGCAUAGAAUAGAGCAUGACAGAUUAGUUGCAGAUAUGGGCAAAGAAAUGGCAGAUAGAGUUUAACCCAGAUAAAUGUGAGGUGAUCCACCUUGGUAGGGCAAAUGGAAGGAGACAGUACACAGUUAUGGUCAAGAUUCUUAACAGAGUUACUGAUCAGAGAGAUCCGUAGAUCCAAGUUCAACGCUCCUUAAGGUCGAUAAGGUGGUUAAGAAGGCUGAUGGAAUUAUUUUAUUAGUCGAGGCAUUUUAUUAGUGCUUAGGCCACAUCGGGAGUAUUGCAGACAGUUCUGGUUACAGCACUAUAGGAAGGACAUUGAGGUUUUGGAGGGGGUACAGAAGAGGUUUACCAGGAGGCUGUCUGGUUUAAAGGGCAUGUGCUAUUAUGAGAGGCUGGAUAAAUUUGUGUCAUUUUCUCUGGAGCUCAGGCUUAAUUAAGGGAGAUCUCAUAGAAGUCUAUAAGAUUAUGAGAGGCAAAGAUAGUGUAGACCGGGACUAUCUAUUUCCCAGGGCUGAAAUGUCUAAUACCAGAUGGCAUUGAAUGUGAGAGGGCAUAGGUUCAAAGAAGAUGUGAGGGGUAAGUUUUUUACUCACAGAGUGGUGGAUGUCUGGAAUGUGCUGCCUGGUGUGGUGGAAGAGACGAAUAUAUUACAGGCUUUUAAAAGACAUUUGGAUGCGCAUAUGAACGUAAGGAAGAUGGAGGGACAUGAACAUUGUGUAGGUAAGAGGAAUUAGUGUUUGGGUAUUUCUGAAUUGCUUUUUAGUUGGUUCAGCACAAUGCUGUGGGCCGAAUGGCCUGCUCCUAUGCUGUGCAGUUCUAUAUAAAACUUACUUCCCCGUAUUCUUCGAUCCAGCAAUUCCUCCUGCCUCACCGAACUAGAAAUGUAUUGCUCCAGAAAAUUAUCCUGUACACUCUGUGCUUAGUGAUAUUAAUCUUCUAGUUUAUAACACAGGCUUUUAUUUCUCCAAAGCAACCACUACAUAGUUUUCACAAAUAUCUGUAAUCUCUUUGAAUGCUGUUCCUUCUGUCCUACUCAUCCAUCCAUAGAAAUACAUGGCAUAAGUAGGCCUUUUGGCCCAUUGAGCUUGUGCUAUCCAUCAACCAAUCAUAUCAACUAAUUCUACUCUUGUUUUUUAUUCUCAGCACUCCAUCAUCAAUUCCCUCAGAUUUCUACCAUUCAGCUACACGUUAGGGUUAAUAUAACUUAACAACCUGCACACCUUGGGAUGUAGGAGGAAGCCGGUGGGUGGUGGGGGAACCAGAGACCUUGGUGCCUCACCUACUCUUGGGGUUCUUGCAGGUAGAGUGAUAAAAGACCAGUAGCCCAUUCCUAGAAUGAGAGGCUUGUUGAGAAGGAAGGGGGAAAGUUGGGCCUCCGGAGCUUAGAAAUACAGAUCGAAAGGUCUUUGGAAAGAUAAUGCUGGGAAGAGUUCAAUCAAUGGUGGAGUCUCUACCACAAAACCAAAAUGAAGAGUUUCUUCCCUCCUUCCUCUAAAGUUGUGAAUCUUGAGUUUUCUCUAUGCCAGUGAGCUUCAAAGACAGAGUCAUUCAGAACUCAGCUGUUUUCUUAGAUUACAGGGCAUUAAGAUAUAGCAAGUAAAUCAAGGAGAGUCUGAGAUUGUCAGUUGACAUCUUACUGUUCAAUCUCACAGGUCUGCCUCUCCAUCUCCUCUUGUUUUCUGAUCAAUAUUACCUCAAAAUAUCCUGCAGCCGCUGCACUCGAGGAGCUGAAAUAUGAUCUCACCACUUCUCAUGAGGAAGUGGCUUGAAUCUACUGAACAAGUAGUUCAUUCCCAUGAACUUUUGUAUGAACAGCGGGAUAUCAUAUCCUGUGAUGCAUGUGACAGCAUUGCGCAACAUCUCAGACAGGCUCAGAAGAGUGGUUCAGAAGUGAAGACACUGCUGGAGAAAGGUUGCAACUCCUUGUCUGGAACCCAACGUUCUCUGUGUGAAAACUUCGUUCAAUCUUACAAAAAAGAGCUUAGCAAAUUGCUUCAAAAGUCCCAGGAGGAAAAGGACAUUUGUCGGGAACUGGACCUCUGUGUAAGGAAACAGACUGUACGAAUGAUUGGACAGGCUGUAUGUACUUGGGGACCAGCGUACUGGUGUAAGAACCCACGUACAGCCACCAUGUGCAAUGCUUUUGAUUACUGUAAGAAACGCCGCUGGAAACAGGACUAAUUUCAUAUCACUGGUGGAAGGCAACAGAAAUUGAAUACUUAAAAAAAUGCAAAGGCUCUUCCUUUAGUACCAGUUAAAUGAUGAUUCUGCUUGUGUGUGUGCAUGUUUCCUUUAAGCAAUUUUGUGUUGCUGUAGCUUGUGCAUUCAAUGCAAUCUCUUUUAUUGUGAGAUGUUACAGAGACGAGAUUAUUGGUAAUCCUUUACUUCCAGCGAAUCAACAUUGCCAGAUGCUAUAUACGCAGAGUUUCAAUGACAAAUAUUGAUUGGGGUUUUGAUUUCAUCAACUGUAAAAAUUCAGCAGACUAAAGUGCUUUAAGAUCAUGUUCUGUUUCUUAAAUAA